AUUGAACGCUGGCGGCAGGCCUAACACAUGCAAGUCGAACGGUAGCACAGAGAGCUUGCUCUCGGGUGACGAGUGGCGGACGGGUGAGUAACGACUGUGAAACUGCCCGAUGGAGGGGGAUAACUACUGGAAACGGUAGCUAAUACCGCAUAACGGCGCAAGACCAAAGUGGGGGACCUUCGGGCCUACCACGAUCGGAUGUGCUCAAAUGGGAUUAGCUAGUAGGUGGGGUAAUGGCUCACCUAGGCGAUGUUCCCUAGCUGGUCUGAGAGGAUGACCAGCCACACUGGAACUGAGACACGGUCCAGACUCCUACGGGAGGCGGCAGUGGGGAAUAUUGCACAAUGGGCGCAAGCCUGAUGCAGCCAUGCCGCGUGUAUGAAGAAGGCCUUCGGGUUGUAAAGUACUUUCAGCGGGGAGGAAGGCGGUGAAGUUAAUAACUUCACCGAUUGACGUUACCCGCAGAAGAAGCACCGGCUAACUCCGUGCCAGCAGCCGCCGCAG
RNAcentral lists this ribosomal RNA (504 nucleotides) under uncultured bacterium. Its description in RNAcentral is "partial 16S ribosomal RNA". It matches the Rfam family "Bacterial small subunit ribosomal RNA", at positions 30 to 523 of the family's 1533-position model. The record is from RNAcentral.